UACGAGUUUGAUCCUGGCUCAGGAUGAACGCUGACAGAAUGCUUAACACAUGCAAGUCUACUUGAAUUAGGUUUUUAACUUAGGUUUGGGUGGCGACGGUGAGUAACGCGUAAGAACUUGCCUCACAGCUAGGGACAACAUUUGGAAACGAAUGCUAAUACCUAAUAUUAUGAUAAUAGGGCAUCCUAUAAUUAUGAAAGCUAAAUGCACUGUGAGAGAGCUUUGCGUCCCAUUAGCUAGUUGGAGAGUAACGGCUCACCAAGGCGGUGAUGGGUAGCCGGCCUGAGAGGGUGAUCGGCCACAAGGGGACUGAGACACGGCCCUUACUCCUACGGGAGGCAGCAGUGGGGAAUAUUGGACAAUGGACCAAGAGUCUGAUCCAGCAAUUCUGUGUGCACGAUGAAGUUUUCGGAAUGUAAAGUGCUUUCAGUUGGGAAGAAAGAAAUGACGGUACCAACAGAAGAAGUGACGGCUAAAUACGUG
RNAcentral lists this ribosomal RNA (483 nucleotides) under uncultured Fusobacterium sp. Its description in RNAcentral is "bacterial SSU rRNA". It matches the Rfam family "Bacterial small subunit ribosomal RNA", at positions 1 to 507 of the family's 1533-position model. Lineage: Bacteria; Fusobacteriati; Fusobacteriota; Fusobacteriia; Fusobacteriales; Fusobacteriaceae. The record is from RNAcentral.